UUUUACGGAGAGUUUGAUCCUGGCUCAGGACGAACGCUGGCGGCGUGCUUAACACAUGCAAGUCGAACGAUGAAGCCCAGCUUGCUGGGUGGAAGAGUGGCGAACGGGUGAGUAACACGUGAGUAACCUGCCCUGAACUCUGGGAUAAGCACUGGAAACGGUGUCUAAUACUGGAUACGACCUAUCACCGCAUGGUGUGUAGGUGGAAAGAUUUAUCGGUUCUGGAUGGACUCGCGGCCUAUCAGCUAGAUGGUGAGGUAAUGGCUCACCAUGGCGACGACGGGUAGCCGGCCUGAGAGGGUGACCGGCCACACUGGGACUGAGACACGGCCCAGACUCCUACGGGAGGCAGCAGUGGGGAAUAUUGCACAAUGGGCGCAAGCCUGAUGCAGCAACGCCGCGUGAG
RNAcentral lists this ribosomal RNA (406 nucleotides) under Leucobacter komagatae. Its description in RNAcentral is "bacterial SSU rRNA". It matches the Rfam family "Bacterial small subunit ribosomal RNA", at positions 1 to 405 of the family's 1533-position model. The record is from RNAcentral. Lineage: Bacteria; Bacillati; Actinomycetota; Actinomycetes; Micrococcales; Microbacteriaceae.